UGGUCACAUCAUGUUGAAACACCAGUUCCCAUAAGAUCAUUGAAGUUAAGCAACAUCGAGUUUGGUCAGUACCUAGAUGAGUGACUGCUUGGAAAUACCAGGUACUGUAAG
This is a non-coding RNA of Acanthosepion pharaonis, 111 nucleotides long. NCBI's taxonomy places the organism in Eukaryota, Metazoa, Mollusca, Cephalopoda, Sepiida, Sepiidae. The record is from the annotation of a GenBank genome assembly.